CAGGGUCUGACGACUGCCCAAACCAAACCGUGAACUACUCCACACUUUUUUGCUUCGGCGGGCCGCUCGCUGGGGGAGCCUCGGGCCGCCGCCGUAAUGCGGUGGUGGUCCGCCGAAGCAAGCCAACAAAACCAUUUUGAAUACUAUUUCUGAGAAACAACUUUCUGAAAAGAAAAAAACAAUCA
This 185-nucleotide unclassified non-coding RNA is filed under the name uncultured Chaetosphaeriaceae. RNAcentral's name for it is "sequence contains ITS1". Lineage: Eukaryota; Fungi; Ascomycota; Sordariomycetes; Chaetosphaeriales; Chaetosphaeriaceae. The record is from RNAcentral.